GCCUGUGAUCCUGACCUAAUGGAUUUCGCUGCAGCCCUUUCCACGCGGCGGCGAAGUUCAGGAUUGCCUCUCUGCAAACUUUUCUCAAUAUAGCCGCCCUUGGAUGCUGCUGAGGUGGUUAGUUUAUUUUGGACACACACUUUUCCCUUAGAGAGAGAGAGAAUAAACCUCCAACGAUUUCUCUCUGCCCAUCACCCCAAACUUCGACGUAGAUCCCCAACUUUUCAGAAGAUCGUGCGUCUUCUUCUGCUCAGAAGCAGCUCGUGUCACCUGCGCUAAUCCUUCGCGUACAUUUUCAGCUCUCAGUCCUGGUUCGUGAGAAACAAAGCAAAGCCUAGGAAAACGGAUGGUGCUCUAGCUGCUGCAGGAAGGGAGAGGAGGAAGGACGUCGAAAAGGCCUAAGAGUAAGAGGGACCUACCGGGCCGGCUCGGUUGGUGGAGGAAGCCUCUCCCCGGAAGAAGGAAACGGGAGAUGAAGAUGAAGAGGAGGAGGACACGGAAAUAAUAGUAUGGAAAAAAUAGAUUUCUCUUUCCCCGUCACACAUAUACACAAAGAGGCAGCCACACUUCGCCAGAUAAAGUCUCCGGACCCGUUCAGCAGGAAUCCUCAUUUGGGGCCUUUUUACACCGGGAAGGCCAGAGAGAUCUGCGGAACUCCAUGCCCAUUGAUGUACUACUUUCACCCCGCUUUGAAAAGCAAUUCUGCUCUCCUCCAGAGCCGUUCUCAGCCUCCCGUUUUGUUUUUAGCCCCAGAAUUGCCGGACUUUAUGGCGCUGCUGCUAAGGAAAUCUGUCUGAUCUUCGGCGAGAGGGAGGUGUUCGGCCGCAGGGGGACCCUGAGAGCACUUCAGAUUUUUCUGGAUUCCGAAUGUCCUCGCGACCCUACGCUCCACAACUCCGCGCCGCCCUCCUUUGAUCUGGAACCCUCCCGGCGCCUCCCUGGUCAAAGUUAGAGACCUGCGUUCCAUCCUCAGGCGCCGCACCGCGGAGGGAGCCCCACAGUCGAGCGUCUCUCCCGGCCUCCUCCCCACGUGCCGGGUGGCCCUCGGACUUCACACCCUUCAGGCAGGAGCAGCGGCCGCUUCGUCCCCGCAAAAAAGUAGUUCCAGCACAAUGUUUGUUAACUAGGUUAUCUAGGCCGUAGAAGAUUUUAAUGUUGAAUUUUAUAGCUUUACCACGCUCUACCGUCCUUGUGAAUAUUGUAAUAUUGCAUUUUUUACAAGUUACUCUUCUGUUAAUGUUCCAGCUAGUAACUUUUAUAAUCCUCCUCAAUGAAAUUUUUUUGUAUUCUUCCGCACCGUUAACCUCAAUGGCGGCACCUCAGCCCCUGGCAGGAGGCAGAGAGAUGGAAUGAAUUCCUCUUUAAUCAGAAAUAAUAAUAAUAAUAAAAACACACACAAGGCUCCCUCUGCCUCUUUUAUUUCAGCUUCGCUUGGAAACAGGGUGGGGUGGGGGAGGGGAUGAGGAAUCCCCCCAGUUCUCCCCCCUUCAGGGAUGGGGGAGAGAGAAAGAAAGAAAGUGGGUGGGUGUCUCUCCGUCUAUUUCUACGCCCGUAUUUCUUAUGCAGUCUAUCAGCAAUGCCUCCCUUGACUGUGAAUGAGAGAGAGAGAGAGAGA
Zootoca vivipara (common lizard) is the source of this 1615-nucleotide non-coding RNA. The record is from RefSeq and is a predicted model, not a curated record. Lineage: Eukaryota; Metazoa; Chordata; Lepidosauria; Squamata; Lacertidae.